Oreochromis niloticus (Nile tilapia) is the source of this 275-nucleotide long non-coding RNA. RefSeq lists it as uncharacterized. NCBI's taxonomy places the organism in Eukaryota, Metazoa, Chordata, Actinopteri, Cichliformes, Cichlidae. The record is from RefSeq and is a predicted model, not a curated record. The transcript has 2 exons.
CCAGCCUCCCUGCGCACCUGUAAAGGACUCGGUACUCGCUCGGACCUCGCCUCACCUCCACCUCCAGCUUAUCCCCGCCUGCGAACACUGACCCUGGUCUGCCACAGUUUCCACCUGCCCCACUCCAGCCCUCAGCAGUUUAGUGACCUGACAGUUCCAUGCUUAGCCUAAGCCCAGCACUUCACAGACACCACGCUUGUGCACAAAGUUUAAUCUUGUUUUUGUCUUGAGUAUCUAAGUUAGGAAUUCUUGUAAAUAAAAGUUUUUGCAAAUCA